AGUGAACGCUGGCGGUAGGCCUAACACAUGCAAGUCGAACGGCAGCACAGUAAGAGCUUGCUCUUACGGGUGGCGAGUGGCGGACGGGUGAGGAAUACAUCGGAAUCUACUUUUUCGUGGGGGAUAACGUAGGGAAACUUACGCUAAUACCGCAUACGACCUACGGGUGAAAGCAGGGGAUCUUCGGACCUUGCGCGAUUGAAUUAGCCGAUGUCGGAUUAGCUAGUUGGCGGGGUAAAGGCCCACCAAGGCAACGAUCCGUAGCUGGUCUGAGAGGAUGAUCAGCCACACUGGAACUGAGACACGGUCCAGACUCCUACGGGAGGCAGCAGUAGGGAAUAUUGGACAAUGGGCGAAAGCCUGACCCAGCAAUACCGCGUGGGUGAAGAAGGCCUUCGGGUUGUAAAGCCCUUUUGUUGGGAAAGAAAAGAAGCAGGUUAAUACACGGCUGUUCUGACGGUACCCAAAGAAUAAGCACCGGCUAACUUCGUG
RNAcentral lists this ribosomal RNA (492 nucleotides) under uncultured bacterium. RNAcentral describes it as "partial 16S ribosomal RNA". It matches the Rfam family "Bacterial small subunit ribosomal RNA", at positions 29 to 507 of the family's 1533-position model. The record is from RNAcentral.